RNAcentral lists this ribosomal RNA (430 nucleotides) under uncultured archaeon. RNAcentral describes it as "bacterial SSU rRNA". It matches the Rfam family "Archaeal small subunit ribosomal RNA", at positions 474 to 903 of the family's 1478-position model. The record is from RNAcentral.
UACCAGCUCUCCGAGUAGUGUGGAUGUUUAUUGGGCCUAAAGCAUCCGUAGCUUGCUAAGCAAGUCCCCUGUUAAAUCCACCGAUUCAAUCGGUGGAUUGCGGGGGAUACUGUUUGGCUAGGGGACGGGAGAGGCCGACGGUAUUUCCGGGGUAGGGGUGAAAUCCUAUAAUCCCGGGAAGACCACCAGUGGCGAAGGCUGUCGGCUAGAACGCGCCCGACGGUGAGGGAUGAAAGCUGGGGGAGCGAACCGGAUUAGAUACCCGGGUAGUCCCAGCUGUAAACGAUGCAGGCUAGGUGUUUGGGCGGCCACGAGCCGCUCUAGUGCCGCAGGGAAGCUGCUAAGCCUGCCGCCUGGGGAGUACGGCCGCAAGGCUGAAACUUAAAGGAAUUGGGCGGGGGAGCACCACAAGGGGUGAAGCUUGCGGUUU